AGGACGAACGCUGGCGGCGUGCUUAACACAUGCAAGUCGAACGGUAAGGCCCUUCGGGGUACACGAGUGGCGAACGGGUGAGUAACACGUGGGUGAUCUGCCCUGCACUUCGGGAUAAGCCUGGGAAACUGGGUCUAAUACCGGAUAGGACUCCUGGCUUCAUGGUUGGGGGUGUAAAGCUUUUGCGGUGUGGGAUGGGCCCGCGGCCUAUCAGCUUGUUGGUGGGGUAAAUGGCCUACCAAGGCGACGACGGGUAGCCGGCCUGAGAGGGUGACCGGCCACACUGGGACUGAGAUACGGCCCAGACUCCUACGGGAGGCAGCAGUGGGGAAUAUUGCACAAUGGCGCAAGCCUGAUGCAGCGACGCCGCGUGAGGGAUGACGGCCUUCGGGUUGUAAACCUCUUUCAAUAGGGACGAAGCGCAAGUGACGGUACCUAUAGAAGAAGGGCCGGCCAACUACGUG
This 464-nucleotide ribosomal RNA is filed under the name uncultured bacterium. Its description in RNAcentral is "bacterial SSU rRNA". It matches the Rfam family "Bacterial small subunit ribosomal RNA", at positions 26 to 507 of the family's 1533-position model. The record is from RNAcentral.